This 475-nucleotide ribosomal RNA is filed under the name uncultured bacterium. RNAcentral describes it as "SSU rRNA". It matches the Rfam family "Bacterial small subunit ribosomal RNA", at positions 26 to 518 of the family's 1533-position model. The record is from RNAcentral.
AGGACGAACGCUGGCGGCGUGCUUAACACAUGCAAGUCGAGCGGAAAGGCCCUUCGGGGUACUCGAGCGGCGAACGGGUGAGUAACACGUGAGCAACCUGCCCUUAGCUCCGGGAUAGCUCCGGGAAACCGGAAUUAAUACCGGAUACGACCACGGCCGACAUCUGCUGUGGUGGAAAGGAUUCCGGCUAAGGAUGGGCUCGCGGCCUAUCAGCUAGUUGGUGGAGUAACGGCCCACCAAGGCGACGACGGGUAGCCGGCCUGAGAGGGCGACCGGCCACACUGGGACUGAGACACGGCCCAGACUCCUACGGGAGGCAGCAGUGGGGAAUAUUGCGCAAUGGGCGAAAGCCUGACGCAGCGACGCCGCGUGGGGGAUGAAGGCCUUCGGGUUGUAAACCCCUUUCAGCAGGGACGAAGCGAAAGUGACGGUACCUGCAGAAGAAGCGCCGGCUAACUACGCGCCAGCAGGCCGC